GACGAACGCUGGCGGCGCGCUUAACACAUGCAAGUCGAACGGAAAGGCCCUGCUUUUGUGGUGUGCUCGAGUGGCGAACGGGUGAGUAACACGUGAGUAACCUGCCCUUGACUUUGGGAUAACUUCAGGAAACUGGGGCUAAUACCGGAUAGGAGCUCCUGCUGCAUGGUGGGGGUUGGAAAGUUUCGGCGGUUGGGGAUGGACUCGCGGCUUAUCAGCUUGUUGGUGGGGUAGUGGCUUACCAAGGCUUUGACGGGUAGCCGGCCUGAGAGGGUGACCGGCGACAUUGGGACUGAGAUACGGCCCAGACUCCUACGGGAGGCAGCAGUGGGGAAUAUUGCACAAUGGGCGGAAGCCUGAUGCAGCAACGCCGCGUGCGGGAUGACGGCCUUCGGGUUGUAAACCGCUUUCGCCUGUGACGAAGCGUGAGUGACGGUAAUGGGUAAAGAAGCACCGGCUAACUACGUG
Molecule: ribosomal RNA, 468 nt
Filed under: uncultured bacterium
Lineage: Bacteria
Description: partial 16S ribosomal RNA
Rfam family: Bacterial small subunit ribosomal RNA
Source: RNAcentral